Molecule: ribosomal RNA, 428 nt
Filed under: uncultured bacterium
Lineage: Bacteria
Description: partial 16S ribosomal RNA
Rfam family: Bacterial small subunit ribosomal RNA
Source: RNAcentral
ACGCUGGCGGCAGGCUUAACACAUGCAAGUCGAGCGGGCACUUCGGUGUCAGCGGCAGACGGGUGAGUAACACGUGGGAACGUACCCUUUGGUUCGGAAUAACGCUGGGAAACUAGCGCUAAUACCGGAUACGCCCUUUUGGGGAAAGGCUUGCUGCCGAAGGAUCGGCCCGCGUCUGAUUAGCUAGUUGGUGGGGUAAUGGCCUACCAAGGCGACGAUCAGUAGCUGGUCUGAGAGGAUGAUCAGCCACACUGGGACUGAGACACGGCCCAGACUCCUACGGGAGGCAGCAGUGGGGAAUAUUGGACAAUGGGCGCAAGCCUGAUCCAGCCAUGCCGCGUGAGUGAUGAAGGCCUUAGGGUUGUAAAGCUCUUUUGUCCGGGACGAUAAUGACGGUACCGGAAGAAUAAGCCCCGGCUAACUUCGUG